CACCAGGUUGAUUCUGCCUGACGUGGAUGCUAGUCUCAUAGGUUAAGCCAUGCAUGUGCAAGCGAAGCCGGUGGUGGAGCGGCGCAAGGCUCAGUAACGGGCGACUGAUUUGAUCUCCCGGUGUGGACAACCUCUGUAAACGGAGGCCAAAACACAGGAGCGCCGUGUACAGAGACGGUGCGAGAACCGGAGGUGCGGGAGAGUAAAGAGCCAUCCCAUCAGUUAGUAAGUAGGGUAAGGGCCUACUUAGACGAAGACGGGUACGGGGAAUUAGAGUUCGAUUCCGGAGAGGGAGCCUGAGAGACGGCUACCAGGUCCAAGGACAGCAGCAGGCGCGCAAAUUACCGAAGCCGCGUUCGGGGCGGUAGUAAGGAGACGUGUAAGCGAUGUGCAGGUAAAAUAUGCACUGGUAACAGGAGGUAAAGACUGGUGCCAGCAUCCGCGGUAAUACCAGCUCCUGGAGUGUCUAUGAUGAUUGCUGCAGUUAAAGAGUUCGUAGUCGGGCUGCGUGACUGGGGUUUAAGGCCCGCUAUCGAGGCGGGCAGUGCGCCAGAAAAGCAGAGGAUGAGGAGCGGCCGGGGGCCAGGUUAUUAAGCGACGAGAGGUGAAAUUUGAUGACUCGCUUAGGAGCAGCAGAGGCGAAAGCGCUGGCCAGGGGCGAAUCCGAUGAUAAAGGACGUAGGCUAGAGGAUCGAAGACGAUUAGAGACCAUGGUAGUUCUAGCAGUAAACGAUGCCGAUGCCGUGGGGCGGUGACCCGCCACGCAGAGGAGAAAUUGAGUAGGGCCCUGGGGAGAGUACACGCACAAGCGAGAAAUUUAAAGGAAAUUGACGGAAGAACACCACAAGGAGUGGAGUGUGCGGCUUAAUUUGACUCA
This 877-nucleotide ribosomal RNA is filed under the name Trachipleistophora hominis. RNAcentral's name for it is "SSU rRNA". It matches the Rfam family "Microsporidia small subunit ribosomal RNA", at positions 1 to 836 of the family's 1311-position model. Lineage: Eukaryota; Fungi; Microsporidia; Pleistophoridae. The record is from RNAcentral.